This 228-nucleotide ribosomal RNA is filed under the name uncultured bacterium. Its description in RNAcentral is "partial 16S ribosomal RNA". It matches the Rfam family "Bacterial small subunit ribosomal RNA", at positions 103 to 334 of the family's 1533-position model. The record is from RNAcentral.
CGGGUGAGUAAUGUAUGGGGAUCUGCCUGAUGGCGGGGGAUAACUACUGGAAACGGUAGCUAAUACCGCAUAACGUCGCAAGACCAAAGAGGGGGACCUUCGGGCCUCUUGCCAUCGGAUGUGCCCAGAUGGGAUUAGCUAGUAGGUGGGGUAACGGCUCACCUAGGCGACGAUCCCUAGCUGGUCUGAGAGGAUGACCAGCCACACUGAAACUGAGACACGGUCCAG